AACGAACGCUGGCGGCAUGCCUAACACAUGCAAGUCGAACGAGACCUUCGGGUCUAGUGGCGCACGGGUGCGUAACGCGUGGGAACCUGCCCUUAGGUUCGGAAUAACUCCCCGAAAGGGGUGAUAAUACCGGAUAAUGUCUUCGGACCAAAGAUUUAUCGCCUUUGGAUGGGCCCGCGUUGGAUUAGCUAGUUGGUAGGGUAAAAGCCUACCAAGGCGACGAUCCAUAGCUGGUUUGAGAGGAUGAUCAGCCACACUGGGACUGAGACACGGCCCAGACUCCUACGGGAGGCAGCAGUGGGGAAUAUUGGACAAUGGGCGAAAGCCUGAUCCAGCAAUGCCGCGUGAGUGAUGAAGGCCUUAGGGUUGUAAAGCUCUUUUACCCGUGAUGAUAAUGACAGUACCGGGAGAAUAAGCUCCGGCUAACUCCGUG
This 433-nucleotide ribosomal RNA is filed under the name uncultured bacterium. RNAcentral's name for it is "partial 16S ribosomal RNA". It matches the Rfam family "Bacterial small subunit ribosomal RNA", at positions 29 to 507 of the family's 1533-position model. The record is from RNAcentral.